This 253-nucleotide ribosomal RNA is filed under the name uncultured bacterium. Its description in RNAcentral is "partial 16S ribosomal RNA". It matches the Rfam family "Bacterial small subunit ribosomal RNA", at positions 524 to 776 of the family's 1533-position model. The record is from RNAcentral.
UACGUAGGUGGCAAGCGUUAUCCGGAAUUAUUGGGCGUAAAGCGCGCGCAGGUGGUUUCUUAAGUCUGAUGUGAAAGCCCACGGCUCAACCGUGGAGGGUCAUUGGAAACUGGGAGACUUGAGUGCAGAAGAGGAAAGUGGAAUUCCAUGUGUAGCGGUGAAAUGCGUAGAGAUAUGGAGGAACACCAGUGGCGAAGGCGACUUUCUGGUCUGUAACUGACAAUGAGGCGCGAAAGAGUGGGGAGCAAACAUG